CAGACAGGUGUCUACGGAGUGGAAAGAAGUUGUUGCAUCUGAUAAUUCUUCAAUCGUGUAGCAGCAACUGCAGCUUACAUGGAAUGAGGAUUAUCGGAUUCAUCUACACUCACUGAUCAUCCAAGGUGAAUUGAUGACCUCAAGCAAAUGGAUGUUGUUGUCAUCUGAAGAGAAGGUUGUCCUGGGCCCAUGUUUAGAGGCAUUUGGGGCAUAUCUGACACAUAUCAGAAUCAAGCUGCAUGCACACUUGAGUUUAUUCAGAGAGAAGUUGUGGGCAUCAGUCCGGAAACUGGAUCAAAAAUUUGCUGCUGGAAUGUGAGACAAAUAAAGGCAUGGAAUGAACCCAAAUGUAUGAACACUGCUACGAAAACUAAUGGACUUUAAAUGGCUUGCCAGUUAAUUCCAAUGGAAUUGAAGAAGAGACUCUGACAAGAUUUUCAAGUUUGUGUUUAAUUUAAAAGUUUAUCUUCAUAGAUAAGCAAUUUAAAGGUAGGCACAGUUAAAACUAUUUCUUGUGUGUUUGUUUAAACUGUAAAUUUAUGACUGAAGUUUGGUCACUAUGUAGUAAUGUGUUCCUUUGUGGUUAAUUAAAUGCUGCAGUGCUUAGUGGUAUUCGUUGUUGUAUUUCCAAGGCUAAAGCCUUAUUUUGUGAUCUGCAUUGUAUUGGAGAGUUUUGGAAACUAAUACUUAUUAUCUUAAUGCAUUGGAAAGUUUUGGACUAUUGAACAAUAAAUGCAUUUGGCUACA
Paramisgurnus dabryanus is the source of this 747-nucleotide long non-coding RNA. RefSeq lists it as uncharacterized. NCBI's taxonomy places the organism in Eukaryota, Metazoa, Chordata, Actinopteri, Cypriniformes, Cobitidae. The record is from RefSeq and is a predicted model, not a curated record.